AACGUAGGACGCAAGCGUUAUCCGGAAUUACUGGGCGUAAAGCGCGUGUAGGUGGUUGCGUAAGUCACUGUUGAAAGCUCCCGGCUAAACUGGGAGAGGUGCGGUGAGACUGCGUGGCUAGAGUAUGGGAGAGGGAGGCAGAAUUCCGGGUGUAGUGGUGAAAUGCGUAGAGAUCCGGAGGAAUACCAGAGGCGAAGGCGGCCUCCUGGCCCAAAACUGACACUGAGACGCGAAAGCAUGGGGAGCGAACGGG
This 253-nucleotide ribosomal RNA is filed under the name uncultured bacterium. Its description in RNAcentral is "partial 16S ribosomal RNA". It matches the Rfam family "Bacterial small subunit ribosomal RNA", at positions 524 to 776 of the family's 1533-position model. The record is from RNAcentral.